GUCUACUUGAGGGUACUAAAAUCGUAGAUACAUGUGUUGUCUUGCAUAUAGUAUUGUGGUGCUUUCCUUUUAUUGUAAGAUUUGGUCUGGGAUGAAGUUACCCAUUUGGACCAGCUUGAUUCAGUUUUGUGUUUUAUUUUAAACGGGUCUCUGAUGGAU
RNAcentral lists this small nucleolar RNA (159 nucleotides) under Triticum aestivum (bread wheat). RNAcentral describes it as "Small nucleolar RNA Z112". It matches the Rfam family "Small nucleolar RNA Z112". From Rfam's summary of the family: Z112 is a member of the C/D class of snoRNA which contain the C (UGAUGA) and D (CUGA) box motifs. Lineage: Eukaryota; Viridiplantae; Streptophyta; Magnoliopsida; Poales; Poaceae. The record is from Rfam by way of RNAcentral.